CACCUCCUGGUGAGGCAGUGCUGGAGAUGUUGACACUGCCCAGCAUCUCCAUGGACUUUUGUUGAGGCCAGUGGCAGGCCACAGACUACCUAAGGCUCAUACAGCCCUUACUACCACCCAAGGGGGAAUGGACCUAAGGGCAAGGGGCGGGAGCAGCGGAGGAGAGGGACCAGACACAUCCAAACCACCACAGUCCACACAAACUCACAUCUCAUGUCUGGCAGUUGCCUUUCUCCUAUAAUAGAACAAACAUGUUCAAAACUGCCCUCAGUACUUCCAUAAAUUGUGGAGUCAGGACAUCCACCAAUAGCUGCCUACUGAUGCUUGUUGUUGACACUGACAUUAGUCAUUAACACCUGUUCAAAAGUUCCUUGUAUUUCAAUGCUCAAGUAGUGUCACAUUAGAUGUGUCAGUCAGACACAAUUGUUUACAUUGUUUUGGUUAUGGUUCUUAUGGAAAUGUUAGGCUUAGUAUGUUUUCUGAUAUUCCUUCUUAAGAAGACAAAAAAGAGUGCCGUCAAAUAUUUUGUUUGGAUGGUAAUAUGAUCUCAUCUAAUGAACAGAUUAUGUAAUCUGAAUGAGAAAAUUACAUGUUUAAUGACUGUUUUUGUUAGUUUCUAGUUUUUAUGUGUUUACUUUGUGUGUUUAGUCUUGAACUGCUGCAUUACUUAAUUUUUUUUUUUUUUUACUGACUCAUUAACAGAAUGUAGACAGCUUUAGUUUUGUCAGACACUAAAACUGACACAGCUUGAACAUGAUCUUGUUCAUUUCCUGAGUUAUCACUCUUGUCUGUCAUACCUCAGUCAUUUGUGUGCUAACCUAUCAAUAAAUACUGAAUGUGC
Molecule: long non-coding RNA, 841 nt
Organism: Penaeus indicus
Lineage: Eukaryota; Metazoa; Arthropoda; Malacostraca; Decapoda; Penaeidae
Exons: 2
Source: RefSeq, a predicted model, not a curated record